This 434-nucleotide ribosomal RNA is filed under the name uncultured bacterium. RNAcentral describes it as "bacterial SSU rRNA". It matches the Rfam family "Bacterial small subunit ribosomal RNA", at positions 958 to 1392 of the family's 1533-position model. The record is from RNAcentral.
AACGCGAAGAACCUUACCUAGGCUUGACAGUUGGGGAAAUCUGGCAGAGAUGUCAGGUCCGUAAGGGUCCCAAAACAGGUGGUGCAUGGCUGUCGUCAGCUCGUGUCGUGAGAUGUUGGGUUAAGUCCCGCAACGAGCGCAACCCUCGUCGUAUGUUGCCAGCGGAUAAUGCCGGGGACUCAUACGAGACUGCCGGGGUCAACUCGGAGGAAGGUGGGGACGACGUCAAGUCAUCAUGCCCCUUAUGUCUAGGGCUGCACGCAUGCUACAAUGGCCGGUACAGAGGGCUGCGAAACCGUAAGGUGGAGCGAAUCCCAAAAAGCCGGUCUCAGUUCGGAUUGGGGUCUGCAACUCGACCCCAUGAAGUCGGAGUCGCUAGUAAUCGCAGAUCAGCAACGCUGCGGUGAAUACGUUCCCGGGCCUUGUACACACCG